GAUGAACGCUGGCGGCGUGCCUAAUACAUGCAAGUCGAGCGAACAGAUGAGGAGCUUGCUCCUCUGACGUUAGCGGCGGACGGGUGAGUAACACGUGGAUAACCUACCUAUAAGACUGGGAUAACUUCGGGAAACCGGAGCUAAUACCGGAUAAUAUAUUGAACCGCAUGGUUCAAUAGUUAAAGACGGUUUUGCUGUCACUUAUAGAUGGAUCCGCGCCGCAUUAGCUAGUUGGUAAGGUAACGGCUUACCAAGGCAACGAUGCGUAGCCGACCUGAGAGGGUGAUCGGCCACACUGGAACUGAGACACGGUCCAGACUCCUACGGGAGGCAGCAGUAGGGAAUCUUCCGAAAUGGGCGAAAGCCUGACGGAGCAACGCCGCGUGAGUGAUGAAGGUCUUCGGAUCGUAAAACUCUGUUAUUAGGGAAGAACAAAUGUGUAAGUAACUAUGCACGUCUUGACGGUACCUAAUCAGAAAGCCACGGCUAACUACGUG
This 497-nucleotide ribosomal RNA is filed under the name uncultured bacterium. Its description in RNAcentral is "partial 16S ribosomal RNA". It matches the Rfam family "Bacterial small subunit ribosomal RNA", at positions 28 to 507 of the family's 1533-position model. The record is from RNAcentral.